RNAcentral lists this unclassified non-coding RNA (311 nucleotides) under Hevea brasiliensis (rubber tree). Lineage: Eukaryota; Viridiplantae; Streptophyta; Magnoliopsida; Malpighiales; Euphorbiaceae. The record is from RNAcentral.
CAAGUUUCUUCAAGAAGCUUAAACCUGUAAUUAAUUUCAACAAUGAAAACCCAAUUUCACUUGUUGCUUUUCAAGGUUAAUUUUGUUCAACUUACAAAAAGAAUCAGUCAGUUUCUUUUUGUUUUCCACAAGACAACUGAUAACUUUUUCAGUGGCUCAGAUUCUUCCUCUUUGUUCAUCUUUUGCUUUUCUAUUGAUUUUUCUUGGAGGAGUGCAAUCAAUUUAUGUGGUGGAGGUAGAGCUUAUCAUUCUUUUAUUAUUUACUGAGAUGGCUUGACGAAAUGCAGAUAGCAGGCCCAAGCUGAUUGCUG